AGAAUGACUGAUAGCACAGAGGAGCUAAAAAAGCUGGAGACACUACUGAUUUUGCUGUCAGCAAAUGCUCUGUGGGGCACUCAGGGCACAGCUCAGCCUGAACUGGAAGAAUGGACACUUAAGGACUUGGGGACAUGAGUGUGAGUCUCAGAUAUUUUGCAAGAAGGAAAUGCCCAAGUCUUACCUGCAAACCAGCGACUGAUUUUCCAUGUGCUCUGCAAAGAGGGACCAAAAGGCUGCCACUGAUACAGGGGAGUCUGUGACCAGCACCAGACCAGGGCUUCAUGUUAUUUAGGAACUCCUUUCAUCCGACUCCUCACAUUUCCUCCUGGAAAACAAAAAGGUAUUGUGUGACAGAGCAGUUGGAAGGUGACAAGCUGAGAAGUGAGACCCAGGCAGUUUCCCAGGUGAGGUAUGAACCUGCCCAAGCCCUCCUGUGAAUGUCAGUAAUGAAUUUAAUGAAAUGUGCAGCAUAAUCCCAUGCGACAUCAGCAUGAAGUUCCCUGCCUGAGUUAUGCUCCACAUAAGUAAACUGAUUUUCAGGCCUGUGUUAAAAUAAUCUUUAUCUCAUUUUUCUGAGAUUCACACAUAUAUUUUCCCUUUAUUACAGUAGUGGUAAAGUCAAAGUUUUAAGUAAGCCAAGUAUAUUGAUAAUUUCAGAAUAUGUCACUGUAACUCUGUUAAGGUAUAAAAAUUAUGAAAGACUAAUGUAAUGAAUCAUGAAGUAAUGAA
This is a long non-coding RNA of Passer montanus (Eurasian tree sparrow), 732 nucleotides long. RefSeq lists it as uncharacterized. The transcript is spliced from 3 exons. The record is from RefSeq and is a predicted model, not a curated record. NCBI's taxonomy places the organism in Eukaryota, Metazoa, Chordata, Aves, Passeriformes, Passeridae.